Molecule: ribosomal RNA, 1583 nt
Filed under: Staphylococcus pseudintermedius
Lineage: Bacteria; Bacillati; Bacillota; Bacilli; Caryophanales; Staphylococcaceae
Description: partial 23S ribosomal RNA
Rfam family: Bacterial large subunit ribosomal RNA
Source: RNAcentral
GUUGAAGCAUGAUCGCAAGGACAUGUGGAGCGCUUAGAAGUGAGAAUGCCGGUGUGAGUAGCGAAAGACGGGUGAGAAUCCCGUCCACCGAUUGACUAAGGUUUCCAGAGGAAGGCUCGUCCGCUCUGGGUUAGUCGGGUCCUAAGCUGAGGCCGACAGGCGUAGGCGAUGGAUAACAGGUUGAUAUUCCUGUACCACCAUUAUUCGUUUUAAGCGAUGGGGGGACGCAGUAGGAUAGGCGAAGCGUGCUGUUGGAGUGCACGUCCAAGCAGUGAGAUUGAGUGUUAGGCAAAUCCGGCACUCUUAAGAUUGAGCUGUGAUGGGGAGAGGAACUUGUUCCUCGAGUCGUUGAUUUCACACUGCCGAGAAAAGCCUCUAGCUAGAAUAACGGUGCCCGUACCGCAAACCGACACAGGUAGUCAAGAUGAGAAUUCUAAGGUGAGCGAGCGAACUCUCGUUAAGGAACUCGGCAAAAUGACCCCGUAACUUCGGGAGAAGGGGUGCUCUUUGAGGUUCACGCUUCGAAGAGCCGCAGUGAAUAGGCCCAAGCGACUGUUUAUCAAAAACACAGGUCUCUGCUAAACCGUAAGGUGACGUAUAGGGGCUGACGCCUGCCCGGUGCUGGAAGGUUAAGAGGAGUGGUUAGCGCAAGCGAAGCUACGAAUCGAAGCCCCAGUAAACGGCGGCCGUAACUAUAACGGUCCUAAGGUAGCGAAAUUCCUUGUCGGGUAAGUUCCGACCCGCACGAAAGGCGUAACGAUUUGGGCACUGUCUCAACGAGAGACUCGGUGAAAUCAUAGUACCGGUGAAGAUGCCGGUUACCCGCGACAGGACGGAAAGACCCCGUGGAGCUUUACUGUAGCCUGAUAUUGAAAUUCGGUACAGUUUGUACAGGAUAGGUAGGAGCCUUAGAAGCGUGAGCGCUAGCUUACGUGGAGGCAUUGGUGGGAUACUACCCUAAUUGUAUUGGAUUUCUAACCCGCAGCACUUAUCGUGCUGGGAGACAGUGUCAGGCGGGCAGUUUGACUGGGGCGGUCGCCUCCUAAAGAGUAACGGAGGCGCUCAAAGGUUCCCUCAGAAUGGUUGGAAAUCAUUCAUAGAGUGUAAAGGCAUAAGGGAGCUUGACUGCGAGACCUACAAGUCGAGCAGGGUCGAAAGACGGACUUAGUGAUCCGGUGGUUCCGCAUGGAAGGGCCAUCGCUCAACGGAUAAAAGCUACCCCGGGGAUAACAGGCUUAUCUCCCCCAAGAGUUCACAUCGACGGGGAGGUUUGGCACCUCGAUGUCGGCUCAUCGCAUCCUGGGGCUGUAGUCGGUCCCAAGGGUUGGGCUGUUCGCCCAUUAAAGCGGUACGCGAGCUGGGUUCAGAACGUCGUGAGACAGUUCGGUCCCUAUCCGUCGUGGGCGUAGGAAAUUUGAGAGGAGCUGUCCUUAGUACGAGAGGACCGGGAUGGACAUACCUCUGGUGUACCAGUUGUCGUGCCAACGGCAUAGCUGGGUAGCUAUGUAUGGACGGGAUAAGUGCUGAAAGCAUCUAAGCAUGAAGCCCCCCUCGAGAUGAGAUUUCCCAACUUCGGUUAUAAG